This 656-nucleotide ribosomal RNA is filed under the name Streptococcus infantis. RNAcentral's name for it is "partial 23S ribosomal RNA". It matches the Rfam family "Bacterial large subunit ribosomal RNA", at positions 1 to 668 of the family's 2925-position model. Lineage: Bacteria; Bacillati; Bacillota; Bacilli; Lactobacillales; Streptococcaceae. The record is from RNAcentral.
GGUUAAGUUAAUAAGGGCGCACGGUGGAUGCCUUGGCACUAGGAGCCGAAGAAGGACGUGACAAACGACGAUAUGCCUUGGGUAGCUGUAAGUAAGCGAUGAUCCAGGGAUUUCCGAAUGGGGGAACCCAACAGGUACUACCUGUUACCCAUAUCUGUUAAGGAUAUGAGGAGGAAGACGCAGUGAACUGAAACAUCUAAGUAGCUGCAGGAAGAGAAAGCAAAAGCGAUUGCCUUAGUAGCGGCGAGCGAAACGGCAGGAGGGCAAACCGAAGAGUUUACUCUUCGGGGUUGUAGGACUGCAAAGUGGACUCAAAGACUAUAGAAGAAUGAUUUGGGAAGAUCAGCCAAAGAGAGUGAUAGCCUCGUAUUUAAAAUAGUCUUUGUACCUAGCAGUAUCCUGAGUACGGCGGGACACGCGAAAUCCCGUCGGAAUCUGGGAGGACCAUCUCCCAACCCUAAAUACUCCCUAGUGACCGAUAGUGAACCAGUACCGUGAGGGAAAGGUGAAAAGCACCCCGGGAGGGGAGUGAAAUAGAACCUGAAACCGUGUGCCUACAACAAGUUCGAGCCCGUUAAUGGGUGAGAGCGUGCCUUUUGUAGAAUGAACCGGCGAGUUACGAUAUGAUGCGAGGUUAAGUUGAAGAGACGGAGCCG